AUUGAACGCUGGCGGCAUGCUUUACACAUGCAAGUCGAACGGCAGCGCGGGCUUCGGCCUGGCGGCGAGUGGCGAACGGGUGAGUAAUGCAUCGGAACGUGCCCAGUAGUGGGGGAUAGCCCGGCGAAAGCCGGAUUAAUACCGCAUACGACCUGAGGGUGAAAGCGGGGGACCGAAAGGCCUCGCGCUAUUGGAGCGGCCGAUGUCGGAUUAGCUAGUUGGUGGGGUAAAGGCUUACCAAGGCGACGAUCCGUAGCUGGACUGAGAGGACGACCAGCCACACUGGGACUGAGACACGGCCCAGACUCCUACGGGAGGCAGCAGUGGGGAAUUUUGGACAAUGGGGGCAACCCUGAUCCAGCCAUGCCGCGUGCGGGAAGAAGGCCUUCGGGUUGUAAACCGCUUUUGUUCGGGAAGAAAUCCUCUGGGCUAAUACCCCGGGGGGAUGACGGUACCGGAAGAAUAAGCACCGGCUAACUACGUG
RNAcentral lists this ribosomal RNA (484 nucleotides) under uncultured bacterium. RNAcentral describes it as "partial 16S ribosomal RNA". It matches the Rfam family "Bacterial small subunit ribosomal RNA", at positions 29 to 507 of the family's 1533-position model. The record is from RNAcentral.